UGCAUGUCCUUGGAUUGGAUCCUUGGAUUCAAAGCGAUCUAAAGGUAAUUCACUAUUUUGGUGAACGAAACAUCUAACUCUUGCAUGGUAUAUCAUAAUAUGGAUCUGAUGUUAUGCUUUCCAAUCAUUCUUAAAAUAUAACUCAUUUGAUAGUUACACUUGGCCACAAUCUCAUUAUCUAGCGGACAAUUCUAAGAAAUCAUGUACGGC
This 210-nucleotide long non-coding RNA is filed under the name Elaeis guineensis (African oil palm). RNAcentral describes it as "long non-coding RNA (EGUI_LNC026377)". Lineage: Eukaryota; Viridiplantae; Streptophyta; Magnoliopsida; Arecales; Arecaceae. The record is from RNAcentral.